Molecule: ribosomal RNA, 429 nt
Filed under: Actinomycetes bacterium
Lineage: Bacteria; Bacillati; Actinomycetota; Actinomycetes
Description: Actinobacteria bacterium partial 16S ribosomal RNA
Rfam family: Bacterial small subunit ribosomal RNA
Source: RNAcentral
UAGGGAAUCUUCCGCAAUGGGCGAAAGCCUGACGGAGCAACGCCGCGUGAGUGAUGAAGGUCUUCGGAUCGUAAAACUCUGUUAUUAGGGAAGAACAAAUGUGUAAGUAACUAUGCACGUCUUGACGGUACCUAAUCAGAAAGCCACGGCUAACUACGUGCCAGCAGCCGCGGUAAUACGUAGGUGGCAAGCGUUAUCCGGAAUUAUUGGGCGUAAAGCGCGUGUAGGCGGUUUUUUAAGUCUGAUGUGAAAGCCCACGUCUCAACCGUGGAGGGUCCUUGGCCACUGGAAAACUUGAGUGCAUAAGAGGAAAGUGGACUUCCCUGUGUAGCGGUGAAAUGCGCAGAGAUAUGGAGGAACACCAGUGGCGAACGCGACUUUCUGGUCUGUAACUGACGCUGAUGUGCGAAAGCGCGGGGAUCAAACAGG